CCCUUAGAUGUUCUGGGCCGCACGCGCGCUACACUGACGGAGCCAACGAGUACUUUCCUUGUCCGGAAGGACCGGGUAAUCUUUGAAUCUGCAUCGUGACGGGGAUAGAUUAUUGCAAUUAUUAAUCUUCAACGAGGAAUGCCUAGUAGGCGCAAGUCAUCAGCUUGCGUCGAUUACGUCCCUGCCCUUUGUACACACCGCCCGUCGCUCCUACCGAUUGGAUGGUCCGGUGAAGCCUCGGGAUUGUGGUUCUUGCCGCUUUAUUGUGGCGUGACCGCGAGAACUUGUCUAAACCUUAUCAUCUAGAGGAAGGUGAAGUCGUAACA
Molecule: ribosomal RNA, 326 nt
Filed under: uncultured eukaryote
Lineage: Eukaryota
Description: partial 18S ribosomal RNA
Rfam family: Eukaryotic small subunit ribosomal RNA
Source: RNAcentral